This 2591-nucleotide unclassified non-coding RNA is filed under the name Leishmania donovani. RNAcentral's name for it is "gene:LdHU3.06.1440(CDS-product:FAD_binding_domain _containing_protein_putative)". Lineage: Eukaryota; Euglenozoa; Kinetoplastea; Trypanosomatida; Trypanosomatidae. The record is from RNAcentral.
CGCACGGCGUGCCCGUUUCCUCUGCAAGGAGCCGCACCUCUCGCCUAUAGCCGUGCAGCGCGUCAUUCAAGCCCUCGUCAGCGACCACCGCGGCCGCCGUGCACUUUGCCGAUGCUGCGCCGCAGUCUGCGCAUGCCGGCGCCGUCGCCGGCAGCUGCGCAAGCAAACGAAGUCAUCGUGUCCGGCGGUGGUCUUGUUGGGGCUGCCAUGAUGGCCUCUCUACAGCAGCUGCGCAGCCAUCUUCACAGAAGCAGCGCCGCGCCGCCCCUCGCCUCGCACCUGGCCCGUCUGAUGCUGGUAGACUCGGGGAGGCGGCCGGUUUACAACGCUGCCAACAUGAUGCACACACUUCGCACCGUCGGCAUCACGCCCGUGUCGAGCAAGAUCAUCGACAACCUCGGCGCCUGGGACCAACUUACCACCAAGCACCCGUACUACCGCAUCGCCGUGCGCCACGAGCAGGCGAACAGCCCCUCCCUCGGCGCAGGCGGUCGCUCCUCAUCCUUCUUCAUGACCAGUGUUCUGGGCAACAGGACGAGCUGUGAGCCUCUCCUGGAGUUUACCGACUUGCGCAAGCCUGUCGGCUUUAUCUGCUUCAACGCGGAGCUCAACAGCUGCAUGAUGGACGUGGUGGAGGCUCGACAGCGCGCUCUCGUCGACACCCCAGGCGCUCACGACACGCUCUGCUUUGGGACGCACCUCGAGGGAGUGCAGAUCCCGAGCCAAGGGACUCUUGAGGGGUCGUGGGGAUCGGCGAGGCUCGUCUCCGGCGAGACCAGCACCGAUGUUGCGUUCGGUCUGCUUCUCGGCUGCGAGGGGCGCGGCAGCUCACUCCGCGACGUCCUCUCCACGCCGUCGCUGCAGCAAGACUAUGCGCAGACGGCGUUCGUGUGCAGCGUGCGACUGGAGAAGGCAGACGACGGCAACGUGUGCAGCUUCCAGAACUUCUUCCGAGAUGGCAAGAUCAUUGCGCUGCUGCCGACCUCCGAGGACACGGCGAACAUCGUCUUCAGCACCACGCAGCAGCACGCAAAGGAGCUGCUGGCGAGCACACCGGAGGACCUCGUCGCAGAGCUGAACCGCCGUCUCUGGUCCUUUGCGCCGAACGACAUACCCAGGAUCCGCGACGUGCCGCAGACAACCACGCCAGAUGGAAAGGUGUGUCGCGCGCAGGGAUCCUUCCCGCUUAAGCUAAACCUCGCGACCAUGCCCUACGCCCCACGCGCGAUCCUACUCGGCGACGCGGCGCACAGCAUUCAUCCCCUUGCCGGACAGGGCCUCAACCUUGGCAUCUACGACCUCUGCGCCCUCACUUCGGUGCUCGAGCAGGCGAUCCGUAGCGGCCAGGACAUCGGCAGUAGCGUCGCCGUGGGGCAGGUAUUCGCCGGCCAUAUGCUCAGCCACACCGCGCCCAUUAUUACAGGCAUGGAGAUAAUCAAGAAACUCACGCACUGGACGCCUGGUCUGGCGUCUGUAGGGAUGAGAGCCCUGAAUAGCGUUCCAUUCGUCUCCACCUUGGCGAAGGACGCCAUUCUGCAGGUGUCCUCUGGCGCCCUCUUCGCUGCACAGCACAAGUGCUGCUUCCUCCUUCAGUAACCUCCAACCGUGUCCGCGUCGCCUUCGUUGGCGCACACGUGGAAAGACGAACAAGAGAAGGGAGAUGAACCAGCUUACGCCGCCUGCCCCCAUGGUCGAGAGGAGGAGGUGAGGGGCCCUUGGGGAUGGGGUGGGGGUUGUUAGCAUGCCCAUUCUCUGCGGCAGAGCACGAGCUUCACUCCUCCCUUCCCCGUUGGCCGUGUCACAGGCCCCCGUCGCACCGUGCGCCAGCCAGCCGUAGACACACGCGGCACAGCAAUGCGCCGACGCAGCCAUCGGCGCACGGCCCCUGCCUCAACCUCUGCCCGCACCGCCGCCUCGCAGGUCCGCCGCCUUGGCGCAUCCCCGCUCGGGGGGGGGAGGGGCGGCUCUCAGGCUCCCCGCCACACCAGCAGUGGGCGCUGUGAAGGCCGGGGCGUGGGUGGGACAGGUUCGAGGCACGCGGACGCUUCGCCUGUCAUACGGGUGCCACAAACGUGUCCGCGGCCGCGGGUGGCUCCGACGCAACGCCAUCCAGGAUCUGAUGGCCGACAUGCGUAGCGCCACACCGCUCUGCGCUCCCCCCUCCCUCCCACGUCGUCGGCGCUGGACGCCGAGAUGCCGCGCGGGGGUGUCCAGCGGCAUCGGGGAUAGGAAGGCGACGCACGCGCACAUAGAGAGGGAGGUUGGUGAGUGCGUUUUUUUUUUUUGGGGGGGGGCAAGGAAUGAGGCGCGAGUCGAUGGCAGCGUACCCUUCUCCAGCCCUAUCUUACACCCUCCCCUGUGUGUGCACGCGUCUCCGGCCUCCCCCACCUCCGGUAAACCACUCUCUCUCGGCCAUCGGAGGAUCUGAAGCGUGACGGGAUGCAAAGAGAAAGCAAGCACGCGACUCGACAGCAUCAACUGAGACACACGCGAAGCCGCCGCAGCGACGCGCGUGAAAAGCGGCCCGGCUGACAGGGCCGCCAUAACUGCAGGACCCGCGUCCCUCUGAGACACGCAACGUCGUUCUCUGC